RNAcentral lists this unclassified non-coding RNA (324 nucleotides) under soil metagenome. RNAcentral's name for it is "partial contains 5.8S ribosomal RNA, internal transcribed spacer 2, and large subunit ribosomal RNA". The stretch from base 1 to 120 matches the Rfam family "5.8S ribosomal RNA", at positions 35 to 154 of the family's 154-position model. The record is from RNAcentral.
GAUGAAGAACGCAGCGAAAUGCGAUAAGUAGUGUGAAUUGCAGAAUUCAGUGAAUCAUCGAAUCUUUGAACGCACAUUGCGCCCCUUGGUAUUCCAUGGGGCAUGCCUGUUCGAGCGUCAUUUGUACCUUCAAGCUUUGCUUGGUGUUGGGUGUUUGUCCCUCGGGACUCGCCUUAAAGUCAUUGGCAGCCAGUGUUUUGGUUUUGAAGCGCAACACAAGUCGCGAUUCAAGGCUAUCCGCCCGCUUCCACAAGCCUUUUUCACUUUUGACCUCGGAUCAGGUAGGGAUACCCGCUGAACUUAAGCAUAUCAAUAAGCGGAGGA